AAGUCCUUCCCUGCCCUGCUCUCAGAACAAGAAGAGCACUCCGUUUCCAGGACUCCCCCAGUGGAGCUGAGACAAUCCAGGCUCUACCUUCUCUGAGUCUUGUCACGAGAUGCACACAAGAGUUUAAGUUCUGCCAGAGGUUACAGAUCUCUGUCUCCACCCCACGCUGCAGAGACAGAGAAAUCACACAGAAAGUCAGUAUGCUAAUCACUCAAGAAGUGGCUGUCUAACCUGUCUCACUGCCUUUAAAUGCUGAAGGUGCAAACAGAAGUCACGACCCUUCAUCUUUCUUCUUGAGUUACCUUGGAUUCCAGGAAUAGAGGAACUCUGAAGGACACAUCCCUCUCACUAUGAAAACAGCUAUCCAGGAGGGCAGGGCCUUCUACUGGAGACGAAGUGGAGGCACACAGGCCAGUUCCAUAAUUAACAUUUGAGCUCAUUCCCAUCAAAGAGAAAGGUGGAAGGAAACCUUGUUCAAAUGAACAGAGAACUAAGGUAAACUAAGAUGAAACAUUAUUGUCCCUAAGGUGAAACAUUGUUGCUAACCAAGGUGAAACAUUGUAGCUAAGGUGAAACAUUGUUCCUAACUAAGCUGAAACAUUGUCGCUAACUAAGGUGAAACAUUGUCGCUAACUAAGGUGAAACAUUGUUGCUAAGGUGAAACAUUGUGGCUAAGGUGAAACAUUGUUGCUAACUAAGCUGAAACAUUAUUGCACUCAACUUUUUAACUUUGGGUAGGAGAAUGUUCAUGAAAAACUUCAAAACCAGUUUGAUACGCUGUUUAUUCAUUUACUUUUUCAUCAAUUAUGUGUUGGAUUUCAGUUUUCAGCAGACACUAGUUUUCUUUCUCUGCUGAACAAUGCAAACAAGGCAAGGAGAAGAAAGAAAGAUCUUCACCUCCUGGAGUGGAAGGAGGUUCACCUUCCUGGGAACACACCUUCGUGGUCAUGGGAUCCCAGGAGCCUAUUCUCGGCUCCUCCGUGAUGUAGCUCCCAUGGAAAGAAAAUUCACAAUCCUCCCCAAACCAGAGCAUCAACCCAUCAUCACAAAUCUCCACAGAUGGUCUCAGUGGUCACCAGCUUCAAUAAUUCCCUUUCAUGAAUAACACUCUCUCCCAAACUGCUUCUAGACUGACACUGAGACUCCUUCAUAGGAUGUGGUGGAAGAGAUGUGGUGUAGCUUCCUAGAAUAGGAAUUCAAAUAUCUUCAGCUGCCCUCUUCCAGAAAGUUCCUUGGGAACUCCUCUACCAUGCUGCAGGAAGCCCAUACCACAUGAAGAUGUUACAUGGAGGAGGACUAAGGUCCUUCAGUCAACAGCCCUAGCAGAGAAUCCCAUUGGCAGCCUCUACCCAUUGCUAAGUAUGCAAGUGAUACCUUAUAAACCAUGGUCCAGCUAAGCCAUUCCGUGACAACAGCCAGCAACUGGCCUCCCAUGAUGAAGAACCAUCUACUUGAACUUACUGAAACCACAGAAUCAUGAUGGAUGAUGAACAACAGUUGAUUUUAAGUCUCUGCUUGGAGGGGUGUUACACAAAAUGGGGUGUUUGUUGUGUUCUUUCUCUUGGAACGACCACACAAGGUGGUCCUGUUGGCCCUCUUAAAGACUAUGAUGUCCAUAGCAAGGGUUGGCUGUGAAAGGGCCCACACUUUCCAAUGUUCUGCCUUCCAUGCAUAGGUAAGGCAAAUAGAUACUUUUUACCCUUGAUAGUGGGGCAUCGAGUUAAUCCAGCUUAGCAGAGAAUCUCACAUAGUUGUCUCGCUCAGAGACUGCUUCGAGUCUUCUCACCAAAAGCAAUUAAAUAUGAACAAGGAGCUCUAAUAGAGACUGCCAGUGUCUUGUCUUUAUGCACCAGGGCAUACAAGGGAACUUGAAAAGCCAAUGUAUUGAUAACUGGCUUUUUCUAGUUCUUUGGAAUGCUUUCUUUCCCAAUGUUUACUGGGAUUUGAAGUAUAAAUUUCCCAGCGUUUUAUUUACUUUUCAAUGACUUUGAAAAAAAUGCCAGGACCAAGGCUACUUAUAGAAGAAAGAGUUUGUUGGGGGCUUACAGUUUCAGAGGGAAAGUCCACGACCACCAUAGAUAUGAGCAUGACAGAAGGCAGGCAAACAUGGCACAAACAGCAGUUGAGAGUUCACAUUUUUGAUCUGCAAGUAGGAGACAGGGAGAGCUAACUGGAAAUGGUGUGGGUUUUUGAAACAUCAAAGUCCAUUCUCAGGUGACACGGCUCUUCCAGUCAAGCCGUAUCUCCUAAUCCUUCUCAAGAGGUUCCACCAACCGAGGACCAAGCAUGCAAAUACAGGAGUCUAUAGGGGUCGUUUCCACACAAUCUCCCACA
This is a long non-coding RNA of Arvicola amphibius (Eurasian water vole), 2334 nucleotides long. RefSeq lists it as uncharacterized. The transcript is spliced from 4 exons. The record is from RefSeq and is a predicted model, not a curated record. NCBI's taxonomy places the organism in Eukaryota, Metazoa, Chordata, Mammalia, Rodentia, Cricetidae.